This 289-nucleotide ribosomal RNA is filed under the name uncultured bacterium. Its description in RNAcentral is "partial 16S ribosomal RNA". It matches the Rfam family "Bacterial small subunit ribosomal RNA", at positions 29 to 300 of the family's 1533-position model. The record is from RNAcentral.
AACGAACGCUGGCGGCGUGGAUUAGGCAUGCAAGUCGAACGCGAAAGAGGGGGUAACUCCUCGAGUAGAGUGGCGAACGGGUGAGUAACGCGUGAAGAACCUGCCUUCAACAGGGGGAUAACACUCCCAACGGGUGCUAAACCGCAUGAGACCACGGGGCUGCAUGGCCCAGGGGUCAAAGGUGGCCUCUACUUGUAAGCUAACCGGUUGAAGAUGGCUUCGCGUCCCAUUAGCUAGUUGGCGGNGUAACGGACCACCAAGGCGACGAUGGGUAGCUGGUCUGAGAGGA